Long non-coding RNA from Parus major (Great Tit), 1629 nucleotides. The record is from Ensembl. Lineage: Eukaryota; Metazoa; Chordata; Aves; Passeriformes; Paridae.
CAUUUUUACCCAAAUCUGCCCCAAAUCUGCCUUUUUUUUCCCCAAAAAUGGGGCAGUUUGGGACUCCCUACACCCUUUUUUUUGGGGUGUCCCCUUUUUUGGGGGAAGUUCCCCUUUUUUGGGGAAGUUCCCCUUUUUUUGGGGGGAAAUUCCCCCUUUUUGGGGAGUUUUGGGGGUGUGGGGGAGAGGAAUUUCUUUCUAUUGAAAUUUGAAAAAUACAAAAAUCCCAGGAAUUAACCCCAAAGCGUGGAGGAAUUUUGGGAUGGGAGGGAUUGGGGGGACAACCCUGAACCCCCCCCAAGUGCUGAGUGAGAAUGGGGGAAAAAACAAAGAAAAUGGGAAAAAAUCCAUCCCUGAUUGGUUUGGGGGGAAAAUGGGAAUUUUUGGGGGGGAAAACUGGGAAUUUUUGGGAGGAAAACGGGAAUUUUGGGGGGAAAUUCCUAUUUGUGUUUUUUUUAUAUUAUUUUAAUAAUUAUAAAAGAGAGAAAAACGAGGGGAAAAUCAUGGAAAAUCCAAGGAGGAAUCUGAUGAGGAAAAUGAGGAAUUCUGGAAUAUUCCAAAGCUCCAAAAUCCCCAAUUCCAACUGGGCUGCACCAAUGGGAUUUUUGCCUUUUCAUCGCCGUUUUUAAUGGAUACAAAAUCAAAACCAGGAGGAAAAACCCAUGGAAAACACAAGGAGAACCCAUCAGGAACCCCAAAAAGCUCCAAAUCCCAGAAUAUCCCACAUUUCCAACCCUCCCCAAAUCCAUCAGCGGGCUCCGCUCGGGCACCUCCGCGGUGAAACAAAAAAUCAGAAAAAAAACCCAACAACAACAAAAAAACUCCGGGAAAAACCCGGGAAAACAACAACAAAAAACAACCGGAGCUGGAUCCCUCAGGGAGCCGUGUGGAGCAUCAAGUUCCUGAGGAGUUUCUGGCGGCCCAGCUCGUAAUCCUCCUCGUCCACGUUGACCAGCAGCUUGAUGGCCUCGUGGCCCACGGCCUGUUUGAGCGAGUCCGUGAUGAAGACGCCCUUGAGGGCCUCCAGGAGGGAGCCGUUGAUGUAAUCCCGCCAGAAGGCGUCGAGGUAGGUGAGCUCCGAGAAUUUGAUGUCGCAGAUGAUGGAGCCCAAAUCCCGGGAUUUCAGGAUGGUGUUGGCCUGGUUGAAGCGCUCGAAUUGGCGCUCCAGCGGGUCCUGCUUGUUGGAGAAGACGUUGCCGUGCAGGGCGGAGUCGUGCUGGCAGUACUCGGCGCGCACGCGCAGGCGGAUGUCUGCCCGCGGGGAAAUCCGGGCUUUAGGGAGUUGGAAUUCCCCAAAUUCCAGGAGGUUGUGGGAUUUUGAGGGUCUCGACUGAUCCCGGGAUUCCCCCGAUCGCAACUCCCCAGCAGUGAGGCAGAGAUAACUCCAAUCCCUGCUUCCCCUCGAUCCCAGGGAUCCCCCGAUCCCAAGGAUCCCCCAAUCCCAGGGAUCCCCCAAUCCCUGGAUCUCCCCAAAUCCCAGUUCUCACUCCAAUCCCUGGAUCCCCUCGAUCCCAAGGAUCCCCCGAUCCCAAGGGUCCCCCAAUCCCAAGGAUCCCCCAAUCCCAGGGAUCCCCCAAUCCCUGGAUCUCCCCAAAUCCCAGUUCUCACUCCAAUCCCUGGUUCCCCCCA